RNAcentral lists this ribosomal RNA (490 nucleotides) under uncultured bacterium. Its description in RNAcentral is "partial 16S ribosomal RNA". It matches the Rfam family "Bacterial small subunit ribosomal RNA", at positions 30 to 507 of the family's 1533-position model. The record is from RNAcentral.
AUUGAACGCUGGCGGCAGGCCUAACACAUGCAAGUCGAACGGUAACAGGGAUCAGCUUGCUGAUUCGCUGACGAGUGGCGGACGGGUGAGUAAUGUCUGGGAAACUGCCUGAUGGAGGGGGAUAACUACUGGAAACGGUAGCUAAUACCGCAUAACGUCGCAAGACCAAAGAGGGGGACCUUCGGGCCUCUUGCCAUCGGAUGUGCCCAGAUGGGAUUAGCUAGUAGGUGGGGUAACGGCUCACCUAGGCGACGAUCCCUAGCUGGUCUGAGAGGAUGACCAGCCACACUGGAACUGAGACACGGUCCAGACUCCUACGGGAGGCAGCAGUGGGGAAUAUUGCACAAUGGGCGCAAGCCUGAUGCAGCCAUGCCGCGUGUGUGAAGAAGGCCUUCGGGUUGUAAAGUACUUUCAGCGGGGAGGAAGGGAGUAAAGUUAAUACCUUGGCUCAUUGACGUUACCCGCAGAAGAAGCACCGGCUAACUCCGUG